GGGGGGAGUGCCGGAUCCUGGGCUAUGUCCCUGGGGUGCCCUGGGCUCCAGGGCCUGCACUGCUGGAAUCGCGCUCCCGGGGCCGUGCAGCCCCGU
RNAcentral lists this microRNA precursor (96 nucleotides) under Canis lupus familiaris (dog). RNAcentral describes it as "mir-8799 microRNA precursor family". It matches the Rfam family "mir-8799 microRNA precursor family". The record is from Rfam by way of RNAcentral. RNAcentral also lists the same sequence under 1 other name. Lineage: Eukaryota; Metazoa; Chordata; Mammalia; Carnivora; Canidae.